This 980-nucleotide long non-coding RNA is filed under the name Lactuca sativa (garden lettuce). Its description in RNAcentral is "long non-coding RNA (LSAT_LNC005100)". Lineage: Eukaryota; Viridiplantae; Streptophyta; Magnoliopsida; Asterales; Asteraceae. The record is from RNAcentral.
CAGUAGCAUAACACAAGGGUCGGUCUAGGCUUUGUUUCGGGAGUUUACCGCCCAAGAACACCUUGGGGAGUAAACUCCUAAAUCUAGUGAUUUAGCCUUCUAAAUCAUGUUAUAAACACAUAUUAAGCUUUCUAACACUACUAGAAAGAGGUACUCNAGUGAUUUAGCCUUUUAAAUCAUGUUAUAAACACAUAUUAAGCUUUCUAACACUACUAGAAAGAGGUACUCACGAUUUGGGAUAAAAACCCGAAGAUCCAUGAGAGAGAAAAUGGCUUUUCUCUAGUUGGAAAUGCGAAUAAUGAAUGAAUUUGGUUCAGAAUUCUAUUUAUAGUCCUGAGAUAUUUUUGUCAGAAAAUAUUUUUAUUCCCAAAAUGAUCUCUAAUAUAAUAGAGUGUUGGAAUAACAGUGUUGCACAAAACCCUAGUGCACCCAUUCUCCAGAUAUUUCCUGAAGUGUGAACCCUGAAUUACUCAAACAUACACGGAAAAAGUCUUAAAAUUAACUGUGACUGCUAUAACUUCUAUUGAAGUGAUAUUGUUUGUACAGAAUGGAAAUUUCGGGUUGUCACAUACUCUGAGACAAGAAGGAUCUGAUCUCGGACAUAGAAAUAGAUGAAAGCUCAAUACCAUUUUGGACAUGAAUUCCAAGAUUAUCUUCUUAUUGUAAUUAUGAAGUAAAUUUCUAGGUGAGGUUAAUACCAAUGUGACUAUAUUGAUCAUGAACUUCAAAAAACAUAGUGAUCUGAACAAAUUAGGACUGGAAAAAAGUGGUUAGACAAAAAGACAUGUAAAAUAAUCCUAUUUAUUCUGAUAGGCAACAGUUCUAGGAUAAGAUAAAAAUUGACUUCAGAACUAUUUUAGUUUCUGGUGUUGCCAUCAAAGAGUGCAAACCUCUUCAAAGAAUUGAGGAUCAGGCAUCAUGAUACCCAUUUUGUUCAGAAAAUCAUUGAAUUUGGUUUCAUCUAAUGUCUUAGUAAAAAC